RNAcentral lists this ribosomal RNA (442 nucleotides) under uncultured bacterium. RNAcentral describes it as "partial 16S ribosomal RNA". It matches the Rfam family "Bacterial small subunit ribosomal RNA", at positions 338 to 795 of the family's 1533-position model. The record is from RNAcentral.
CCUACGGGAGGCAGCAGUAGGGAAUCUUUCACAAUGGGCGAAAGCCUGAUGGAGCAACGCCGCGUGCAGGAUGAAGGCCUUCGGGUUGUAAACUGCUUUUAUAAGCGAGAAAUAUGAUGGUAACUUAUGAAUAAGGAUCGGCUAACUACGUGCCAGCAGCCGCGGUCAUACGUAGGAUCCGAGCAUUAUCCGGAGUGACUGGGUGUAAAGAGUUGCGUAGGUGGCAUAAUAAGUAGCUAGUGAAAUCUGGUGGCCCAACCAUUCAGACUAUUAGCGAAACUGUUAAGCUCGAGACCGUUAGGAGUAAGUGGAAUGUGUAGUGUAGGAGUGAAAUCCGUAGAUAUUAGGAGGAACACCGAUAGCGUAGGCAGGUUACUGGGACGGUUCUGACACUAAGGCACGAAAGCGUAGGGAGCGAACGGGAUUAGAUACCCCUGUAGUC